RNAcentral lists this ribosomal RNA (460 nucleotides) under uncultured bacterium. RNAcentral describes it as "partial 16S ribosomal RNA". It matches the Rfam family "Bacterial small subunit ribosomal RNA", at positions 338 to 795 of the family's 1533-position model. The record is from RNAcentral.
CCUACGGGUGGCAGCAGUGAGGGAUAUUGGUCAAUGGGCGCGAGCCUGAACCAGCGAAGUCGCGUGAGGGAAGACGGACCUACGGGUUGUAAACCUCUUUUGCCGGGGAGCAACGGGCGCCACGUGUGGCGCCACUGAGAGUACCCGGAGAAAAAGCAUCGGCUAAGUCCGUGCCAUUAGCCGCGGUAAUACGGAGGAUGCGAGCGUUAUCCGGAUUGAAUGGGUGUAAGGGAUGCUUAGGCGGAGCGUUAAGUCAGUGGUCAAAUUGAGGGGCUCAACCCCUUCCCGCCAUGGAAACUGGCGCUCUUGAGUGGAAGAGAGGUAUGCGGAAUGCGUGGUGUAGCGGUGAAAUGCAUAGAUAUCACGCAGAACCCCGAUUGCGAAGGCAGCAUGCCGGCUUCCGACUGACGCUGAAGCACGAAAGCGUGGGGAUCGAACAGGAUUAGAUACCCGGGUAGUC